UAGGGAAUCUUCCGCAAUGGACGAAAGUCUGACGGAGCAACGCCGCGUGAGUGAAGAAGGUUUUCGGAUCGUAAAGCUCUGUUGCCAGGGAAGAGAAGGCAGAUGUUAACUGCAUUUGCUUAGACGGUACCUGAGAAGAAAGCCCCGGCUAACUACGUGCCAGCAGCCGCGGUAAUACGUAGGGGGCAAGCGUUGUCCGGAAUUAUUGGGCGUAAAGGGCGCGCAGGCGGCCCAUUAAGUCUGGUGUUUAAACUCGGAGCUCAACUCCGAGUCGCACUGGAAACUGGUGAGCUUGAGUGCAGAAGAGGAGAGUGGAAUUCCACGUGUAGCGGUGAAAUGCGUAGAGAUGUGGAGGAACACCAGUGGCGAAGGCGACUCUCUGGUCUGUAACUGACGCUGAGGCGCGAAAGCGUGGGGAGCGAACAGGAUUAGAUACCCCCGUAGUCC
Molecule: ribosomal RNA, 447 nt
Filed under: uncultured prokaryote
Description: bacterial SSU rRNA
Rfam family: Bacterial small subunit ribosomal RNA
Source: RNAcentral